Non-coding RNA from Pelobates cultripes (western spadefoot toad), 256 nucleotides. The record is from the annotation of a GenBank genome assembly. NCBI's taxonomy places the organism in Eukaryota, Metazoa, Chordata, Amphibia, Anura, Pelobatidae.
GGUCUGAUCACUAAAGGAGUUAAUUUAGAUUAAGUUGUUUUGGUGCCUGGAGUGUCCCUUUAAUUUGUUCUAUAUUUUAUCAUAAUGAUGCAGACGUUAGCAAAACAAAAUCUUCAUUGUGAUUGAUUAGUAUACCAUCAAGGUGUGGCUAGUGCUGCAUAAACAAAUAGAUUUAACUCCUAAAUGGCAGAGCAUUGAGCUAUGAGACUGCAGGGACAUGAUCUAUACACCAAAACCACUUUGCCAAGCUGUUAAG